This 253-nucleotide ribosomal RNA is filed under the name uncultured bacterium. RNAcentral's name for it is "partial 16S ribosomal RNA". It matches the Rfam family "Bacterial small subunit ribosomal RNA", at positions 524 to 776 of the family's 1533-position model. The record is from RNAcentral.
UACGUAGGGUGCGAGCGUUGUCCGGAAUUAUUGGGCGUAAAGGGCUCGUAGGCGGUCUGUCGCGUCGAAAGUGAAAACUCAGGGCUUAACCCUGAGCCUGCUUCCGAUACGGGCAGACUAGAGGUAUGCAGGGGAGAACGGAAUUCCUGGUGUAGCGGUGAAAUGCGUAGAUAUCUGGAGGAACACCGGUGGCGAAGGCGGCAUCCUGGACCAACACUGACGCUGAGGAGCGAAAGCCAGGGGAGCAAACGGG